RNAcentral lists this ribosomal RNA (493 nucleotides) under Selenomonas sp. oral taxon 137. RNAcentral's name for it is "bacterial SSU rRNA". It matches the Rfam family "Bacterial small subunit ribosomal RNA", at positions 28 to 496 of the family's 1533-position model. The record is from RNAcentral. Lineage: Bacteria; Bacillati; Bacillota; Negativicutes; Selenomonadales; Selenomonadaceae.
GACGAACGCUGGCGGCGUGCUUAACACAUGCAAGUCGAACGGAGCGAAUGAAAGCUUGCUUUUAUGAGCUUAGUGGCAAACGGGUGAGUAACACGUAGACAACCUGCCGAUCAGAUGGGGACAACAUUCCGAAAGGAAUGCUAAUACCGAAUGGCGUGUAGGGGAGGCAUCUCCCGUACAUGAAAGAUGGCCUCUAUAUAUAAGCUAUCACUGAUCGAUGGGUCUGCGUCUGAUUAGCUGGUAGGUAAGGUAACGGCUUACCUAGGCGACGAUCAGUAGCCGGUCUGAGAGGAUGAACGGCCACAUUGGGACUGAGACACGGCCCAGACUCCUACGGGAGGCAGCAGUGGGGAAUCUUCCGCAAUGGGCGCAAGCCUGACGGAGCAACGCCGCGUGAGUGAAGAAGGUCUUCGGAUCGUAAAGCUCUGUUGAAGGGGACGAACGUACAUAGUGCGAAUAGUGCUGUGUAAUGACGACCUUUGAGGAGCCACGC